Molecule: ribosomal RNA, 394 nt
Filed under: uncultured bacterium
Lineage: Bacteria
Description: bacterial SSU rRNA
Rfam family: Bacterial small subunit ribosomal RNA
Source: RNAcentral
CUGGUGGCGAGUGGCGAACGAGUGAGUAAUAUAUCGGAACGUGCCCAGUAGUGGGGGAUAACUGCUCGAAAGAGCAGCUAAUACCGCAUACGACCUGAGGGUGAAAGGGGGGGAUCGCAAGACCUCUCGCUAUUGGAGCGGCCGAUAUCAGAUUAGCUAGUUGGUGGGGUAAAGGCCUACCAAGGCAACGAUCUGUAGUUGGUCUGAGAGGACGACCAGCCCCUGGGACUGAGACCCGGCCCAGACUCCUACGGGAGGCAGCAGUGGGGAAUUUUGGACAAUGGGCGCAAGCCUGAUCCAGCCAUGCCGCGUGCGGGAAGAAGGCCUUCGGGUUGUAAACUGCUUUUGUCAGGGAAGAAAUCCUCUAGGUUAAUACCCUUGGGGGGAUGACGGU